CACGUAGGGCGCAAGCGUUGUCCGGAAUUAUUGGGCGUAAAGAGCUCGUAGGCGGUCUGUUGCGUCCGCUGUGAAAUCUCGGGGCUUAAUCCCGAGCCUGCAGUGGAUACGGGCAGACUAGAGGUAGGUAGGGGAGAAUGGAAUUCCCGGUGUAGCGGUGAAAUGCGCAGAUAUCGGGAGGAACACCGGUGGCGAAGGCGGUUCUCUGGGCCUUACCUGACGCUGAGGAGCGAAAGCGUGGGGAGCGAACAGG
RNAcentral lists this ribosomal RNA (253 nucleotides) under uncultured bacterium. Its description in RNAcentral is "partial 16S ribosomal RNA". It matches the Rfam family "Bacterial small subunit ribosomal RNA", at positions 524 to 776 of the family's 1533-position model. The record is from RNAcentral.